This is a long non-coding RNA of Caretta caretta (loggerhead turtle), 681 nucleotides long. RefSeq lists it as uncharacterized. The record is from RefSeq and is a predicted model, not a curated record. NCBI's taxonomy places the organism in Eukaryota, Metazoa, Chordata, Testudines, Cheloniidae.
GUAGGAGCAGAUUUUUGAUAGCCCAGUAACAGGUUUAAACCACUUCCAGUGGCUGGAAUUCCAGUUGUUCUGCUUAUUACUGAAAGCCGCUAAAAGGAGGUGUUUCUGAAACCUUAGCACAGGUAAUGGACCAGGACGGGAGGGUGAAGUGAGUGACCUCAUGGAGUAAACAUGACCCUCUGCCCUCCUGGCUUGAGUUGUUGCUCCGAAGCAUGUGGUUUUGCAAGCUGGAAGUCUGGCAAUAGUUAACUAUGACUCUACAGCUGGUUAACCGAUGGAAAGUUGCCCACCAGACAGGCUGGAAAUCUCCACCCUUAACUUAGCUUCUGCUCGGCAGGUUUGUUAAUGAGCAAGCUACCUAAUACUAACAAGUUGGAUAUAAAAAGGGGAGGAAAUCUGAGCUCUGUGGACAUUUGAACACCUGAACACCUCUCAAGUUCCCCUGGAGACCACCAGCUGGCCACUGGACAUCUACAGUUAUCCAGUCGAGACCGUCUCAAGACCCUGGCCAUGGAUCGUCGGAUGGCCGUGUCUCCCCUGCUUUAUUUCUGACACCACCUCGCACAGAGUAAAGGUGUUGAGCUCCACCCAGAACUCGGUGCCCACGGCCAGCACGGUCAGCGUCACCCCCACGAUGGCCACGAAGAAGGCCAGCUUGAUCUUGCCCUCCUGGGCGUCGCU